CUGAUUGAUAUUUUAGUCUAAGAUGCAAAUUUUUUAAUUUGUUGUUAUUGGCUUUGAACCAGCUGUAAGUCCUCUCAGAUCUGUUCUUUGUGUCUUUUUGUUGUAGGGAUGUAUAAGUACCCAUCCAUGUUCACUGGUAUUUUUUAAGAUGUAUUUUUAUUUGUAUCCAUCUGAUGAAUUAAGCCUUUUUCAACUUAUUAUUAUAGUUUGUUCUAUGUUGUACUGUCCAGGUUAAAGAAGGGUUGGCACCUAUCCCAGAUCAGGAGCCUGUAGUUCAGUGGUUGUCGUUUGUUGCUGUGUUACAUAUUUGUUUUUUGUAUUUUUUUUUUACAUUAAUUAGGACAUUCGUUUUCAUGUUUGAAUUGUUUUACAAUUCUCAUUUUGUAGUCUUUUAUAGCUGACUUUCUGGUAUGGGCUUUGCUCAUUGUUGAAGGCCCAUAUAGUUGUUAAUUACUGUGUCAUUUGGUCUCUUGUGCAGUCUUGUCUUAUCAUAUAU
Molecule: long non-coding RNA, 496 nt
Filed under: Mytilus galloprovincialis (Mediterranean mussel)
Lineage: Eukaryota; Metazoa; Mollusca; Bivalvia; Mytilida; Mytilidae
Source: RNAcentral